Molecule: long non-coding RNA, 1078 nt
Filed under: Triticum aestivum (bread wheat)
Lineage: Eukaryota; Viridiplantae; Streptophyta; Magnoliopsida; Poales; Poaceae
Description: long non-coding RNA (TAES_LNC005037)
Source: RNAcentral
CCCAACCGUAGCGAAGAACAAUACAAAAUGGAGGAAGAAACCGAAUUUCAACUCCCCACUUUGUUCAAGCAGAUGUCGACGCAUUGGCGCCUUCGAACUUUGAAGCAUUUGGUGACAUGCAAAGUUGGUAAAUAAACCUCCUUCCUUUGUCCUUUGAUUUGUUUGCUUCAAUGCAAGGUGUUAGUAGAACAAUGGUGGCAAUUGUGUAAUAUUUGUGUGUAGUGAUGCUUUUACGUAUUUCAGAGGAUUGCUUGUUAAUAAUGAAUCCUCCUUGAGGGGUAUGAUGCAAGAUUCAGUUGAGACCAAUGAUUUAAAUAGUAGAGACUUCUCUCUUCAUUAAAUGUUGUUGAGCACACUGAGUGGUCGGAUGUUGUGAGCAAAGAUGCGAAAUUGGAUCAAUUCCAUGCCUCCCAAUCUUCUACGAAGAAAGCAUCUCCGGUUUCAAACUAUAUCAAUGAAGAAGCCUUCUGUGUUGCUGGCAUGGCAUUAUACCACUCUGGAUGCGGUCGCCAAGAAUGGUCAAACUAGUGUAAAGUAUUGGAAGCGACCAAAAGAGAGUUCCAACCGUCGAGGAAGGUUUUUGGAGCAAGUAAGGAACUCAUCUCCUAGCAGUGUUACCAUUAAUGUGAGCACUCUUGUCGUCAUUUUAAAUGCCAUAUUUGCAUAUAAUAUUGAGCAUUAAAUCAUUGCUCAUUUGUAUGUUGUAGUAUGGGAUAGCCCAAGAAAGGUACAAACAAAUGUCGAGGGUGAAGGGGAAAGCAUUUGGCCUCUGGCCUCGUUGAAAAGAAUUAGAGGGCAAUGUGAAGAGGAAAUAGAGGAAUGAGAAGGCUCCAACGUUGAAACAAAUGAGUCAAUCCAUUGACGCCAUUUUGUUGGAAAGCCUUUCAUUUGCGUAUAUUGUUGCAAGAAUGGCCAUUUAAAUUUGUUGUAGGCCUUUCCAAAAUCUACUUUGAAGAUAGCUAUGUCAAGUUUUGUCGACCGCAACGUAUGGAUCCUUUCAUGUAAUACAACAAUCCCCUCCAGGAUGUGUCACCCUGGCAUGUACGUCGUCUGUGUCGUUCUAUACACAUUGUGAGCG